CAGCCGCCGCGGUAAUACAGAGGGUGCGAGCGUUAAUCGGAUUUACUGGGCGUAAAGCGUGCGUAGGCGGCUAAUUGAGUCGGAUGUGAAAUCCCCGAGCUUAACUUGGGAAUUGCAUUCGAUACUGGUUAGCUAGAGUGUGGGAGAGGAUGGUAGAAUUCCAGGUGUAGCGGUGAAAUGCGUAGAGAUCUGGAGGAAUACCGAUGGCGAAGGCAGCCAUCUGGCCUAACACUGACGCUGAGGUACGAAAGCAUGGGGAGCAAACAGGAUUAGAUACCCCCGUAGUCCCUGUCUCUUAUAA
Molecule: ribosomal RNA, 301 nt
Filed under: uncultured bacterium
Lineage: Bacteria
Description: partial 16S ribosomal RNA
Rfam family: Bacterial small subunit ribosomal RNA
Source: RNAcentral